This 248-nucleotide long non-coding RNA is filed under the name Elaeis guineensis (African oil palm). RNAcentral's name for it is "long non-coding RNA (EGUI_LNC003735)". The record is from RNAcentral. Lineage: Eukaryota; Viridiplantae; Streptophyta; Magnoliopsida; Arecales; Arecaceae.
CAUGGGUAAUCGUCCAUCUGUCUCCAAACGACCCUCAUCCUAGUUCACCCUAUUCAUUGUUUAUCAAAUAGGAGUCAUAUUUUGUUAUCUCCAAAAUAUAUCAAUGGGUUUUGGAUAAAUCGUUACAAACUUUAUUUUAUUCAUGGAUGAUUGUUUUAUAGUGAAAUGAAAAUAAUUAUUUUGUUAUAAUUUAUAAUUUUUAGCUAACCUUUUCUUUAGAAUUCAUUUGUAGGUGCUGCAUGAGUGAU